Long non-coding RNA from Marmota monax (woodchuck), 4758 nucleotides. RefSeq lists it as uncharacterized. The transcript has 4 exons. The record is from RefSeq and is a predicted model, not a curated record. NCBI's taxonomy places the organism in Eukaryota, Metazoa, Chordata, Mammalia, Rodentia, Sciuridae.
CUCAGGGCCUCCCCUGAGAGACAGGGCCCGGGCGGCUCUUUGCCCUUGUCCUCAAGUCCUCUACCCUGCGUUGGAGGGUGUAGUUGACCCUCUCUGACCACUUGCAGGGCCCUGCCUGGGAUGAGGGACAGUGAGCAGAUGGAUCCACCUCUGUCUCCAAGCGACCGAUGUCACGUCCAUCACUCACCAGAACCGUUCAGCCUCCUGGAAAUGGGCAGGGGCCAGUACCCACUGGAGUCCAGCAGUGACAGCCACGAAGCCCAUGUCCCAGCCUGAAGGCCCGGUGGCUUCUCGUCACACCUCGGGUCGCAGGGCAGCACCACAGCAGAAAGGGCACGGUGGGCAUCAGGGGCACCUCCUGGAUGGGAUAUGGACGGACACACCCACAUCUGUGCCAUCGAUGGAGGAAGGACCCCCGCCUGUCACACCAACAGCGUCAGACGCAGAGCUACCAAAUAGUGAGAUGUGCCACCUUGGCCAGGUGACCUCCAGGCCACUGUCCCAGCCUCAGUUCCUGGGACCUGGAUCUGGACCAUGGGGCAGAGCAGGGUGGGGACUGGUAAGCUGUGGUUUGUUACCUGAGAGGGUCUGAUGAGCCUAGGCAGGCCGUAAAAGGUGAGCGGGAAAGUCAGGUCAACGGAAAUGACCACCCACAGGACAAGAGAGGGCGGGGGGGGGGCAUCGGGGUCUGCCAUUCUGACUUCAAAGUCCAAGAAAUACUUCACGGAGGUGUGCAGCGCAGUGGACCCAGCUGAAGAGGCGAAGAGAGGGGGAAGUCAGUGCGCCCAACUUGGAGCUGGCCGGUCCCCCUUCCAGAAAGAUGUGCGCUAGCCACUUGAAAGCCGGGACUGAGGACGCCUGACCUGUGGGGUGAGUGCGUGUGAGCGCUUGUGCGUGAGCCCUGUGUCGGGUAAUCGUGCUGCGGGCCGUUGGGGAGCAGGGUUUUCAAAUGACAACAGAUAUAAGCCAAGGAGUCAAAGAAAAGCUGGGGAUCUCGCAGUCGAGCCGGAAAUAACCGGCAUGGGUCCCAGAGGCCUUCUGUCUUCACAAAGUGUGCGUCUCCUGCGCCGCACUCUUGGGAGGUCUCUAGGGCCUCAGAGCCACGGAGCGGUGGGCAGGAGCAGAUUCAGUGGGACUGAGCUCCAGGCUGGGGGUGGAGGUGGUGAAGGCUGCCCGGCAGGGACUGUGCCCAGGGCCCCUGGACUUGCUAGGUGCCCUCAAGAUGGGGAAUUUUACAUGAUUUUUCCCACAGUGAAAAAAAAAAAAGGUGGGUAUUCCUGGAUCCCAGCUCCUGGAAAGUUCUAGAAACAGUGGCCAGACCAGGAGUGAUGCGGGAAGCAGGGUCCGUGGGGAAGUGACCGGCUCAGGCUACGGAGGGUGUGUAUGGGCAGGCCUGGAACCGCAGCCUCUCUGAGAGCAAAACUCCAGAGACCUGGGGGCCUUCAGAAGCACACGCCGGGUGACUCCAAAGCCUGCCCCUGGCCACAGACCGGCCACUUGUCCCCAGAGGAUGUGAGCCCAGUGGCAUGCGGUGCAUUGUGGCAGACGCACCCCAUGUGACCUCUGUGAGGGGUGACCCAUGUGACACAGCUGAGUGUGGCCCUCCCAAGUGCCCGCAUUCACGUGCCUGGCUUUUAGGCAAGACUCUAGGGCAAAAGCAAAGCAGUUCUGCAGACGUGAUCGAGGACCCUGGUGGUCACAUUGGACGUUUUCCUGUGGGCCUGACCCAAUGGGAAGCCUCCCGAGGACAGUCCAGGCUUCUCUGACCUUAGAGGUGGACAAGCGGAGGCCCUCCCUGUCCUGCUGACUUUGAAGAAGGGGCUGCCAAGACUCCCUGAGCUGCAUGGAGAUGGGUCCCACUGGCCCCCUGCAGGGCCGAGAGCAGCUGAGCUGCUGACCCUCCCUCCCUGGGCCUGGAUCUCGGCCUCACGAGGCCCUGCCAGCCACACACCGGCAAGGCCAUGAGCAGUGGGCUGUUUCAGACCUUUAGGUGGUGGCAAUUCACAUUUGUGGUGUGGAUUUUAUAUAUCUCUCAUAGGAGAGUGUACCUUUUGUUUUCCCCCCGGUGCUGGGGAUGGAACUCAGGGCUCCACACUGGCCAGGCAAGCACCCUCCCACUGAGCCACAUCCCCAGCCUCAAAAGUGUGUCUUGGUCGAAUUCUUGCAAAUCACCGAUGAAGAAAUGCUGGGUUUGGAGGCCUGCUCUUUGCAACCCCUAGAGGGAUCAUGGCUCUGGUGCGCAGCUGGGGCUUUGCCCGCACUCUGGGAGAAAUCGCAGUGUCUGGAAACAAGCUUGAUUGUCACCGCGGGAUGCUGCUGGCUCCCAGGGGGUAGGGACCAGGAAUGCACAGGACCCACACCACCAUCACGUAGCUGGCAGACAGUCCCCGAGGGACCUUAGUGACCCUGCUUGCUGUUGUCCAUGCUUUUAUCCCGUCCCCUCCCCUCGAGAGCGGGUGCACCUGUGACUUGCUCCUGACUAAUGGAAUAUUGCUUUGGGGGCAGUUGUCACACCCAGGACAAUGUCACAGUAUUUAUGGUGCCACAGUCACUCUCUCCUGCCAUCCUGGAGAAGCAAGCCGCCUGGCCUGGACUGCCCAGGAAAGCCAGCCCCGCAUGCCCCAGGGCUGUAGUCAUGGGAGCACCUGGGUCCCACAUCCACCAGGAGCUGAGCUCCGUCCAACUCACAGCACAGUGAGCCCAGAAGCUCCUGCGCUCCAUCCUCAGAUGAGAACCAGUCCUGGUGGCCGGGGCCGGGACCCUGAAGAGAAGGCCCAGCCCAGGGCCCGAGUGCUGCCCUGCGGGAACCGAGACAGCAGCGUGUGAGCAUUGCUUGAAGCCCGCCACUGGAGGCCCGCAGCGCAGGGCUGGCAAGCCCUGGCCGAGACUCGUCCUUCCUGUGAGGGAAAGGAAGGGUGGUGAGCGUCCUUGGUCUUGCAGGCCUUCUGGUCUGUCACAACGGCCCAGCUCUGCAGUUACUUUGUAACAAAAUCACCAGCUUUGCAGCCACGUCCUGGCCCAGGAAACGGGCUCUGAUGAGCCCCUGGAGCAGGGCAACAUGGAGUCAGACACAGGAAGGAGGCCAAAGUGGAUGGACUGACGGACCCACAGACCUAAAGACCCUGCCCUGCAGCUGGACUGCUCUGACUCUCAGGGGCUCCUGCCUGAGGUCAGGGUCAGGGCAAGGGUUCCUGCACCUCGGGUCCCCGACUGGGUCCCGUUCGCAGUGGAACCAGCUCUGCAGAAGUCAAGGCCACAGGCCCUGGAACCCAGGAGAGGUGGGCAGCAAGCCCUGAGCUGCCACGCGUGGCCGGACACACCAUGGCAGGCAGAGGACAGCGGUGCCGGAGAGUGGGUCCUGUCCGGCGGGUGGUGCUGGUGAGGGUGCCUGGAGGAAGGUGGCAGGGCCCGUCCCCGAUCCUGCGGGAUGAGGCUGGAUUUGGUCUGCAGCAGGUGCUGGCCACCCUCAGACCCCAUACGCCCAGCAGGGAACCAAGGCCAAGGCUGUGUUCAGGGCUGAGGGUGGAGAUGGGAGCCUCGAGCUCCAGCCCCGCACUGCCCGGCCGGCACCCGCUCACGCCCUCGCCCACCGGCACCUGCUCUGGGGCAAGGGCAGCAGUCCUGUGCCUGUGUGCAGCUGUCCUGCUGGGCAGUGCCAGGUACAUGGUGGCCACGGGGAGUCAGGCUCACCCCUUCUGCGGCUGACUGAGGGCUUCCCCAAGCAGGCAGCAGGGCGGGACGAGACACCCUCUUCUGGUCCCCUGGGGAGCUGGGACGGCCUCUGGGGUUUCACCUUGAAAGAGAGUGCACCUGCUUGUGUGUGCUGUGCACACACGUAUCUGCGUGUCUGCGAGUCACACGCCUGUGCCUGUGCCUGUGCCUGUGCUCCCACACCCCGGGGAGGAGAGCCCCCUGCCUUCUCAGGAGGAGCUCGUGGGUGGGCGGCAGGGACCCUGUCGCCAAGUCCACUGGGGGAAGCCAGAGGGGCUCCCUUGGGGGCCCAACCCCUUGCCUUCUCUCCACUCCCUCACUGGCCCUGUAGCCCCGCCCCCUCUGCGCGUGGUCUGCCUGGCACUCUCCAGCCUGCCGAGACCCACACCCCACGCCCCACCUGCCUGCUCCCCUGGGAGUCCCCAUUUCCGCCCAUGACCCCACGCUGCUUUCUCCCAGGGCCAGGGCUGGACGGGUUCUCAUUUCUCCCUCUGUCCUUGAGCUGGUGGCCUCUCCGCCCGCCAGACCGUCCACUGUCCUGACCCCGGCACACCUGGCUCCUGGGUGUCUGGAGCUGUGUGAGGGCCUCAUGCUCCUGGGCCACUCUCCUCGUCUCCCAGCCGCUGGGGACUUCGGUGCUGUUGCCUGAUCUUGGGGCCCGAGGCCUCUGGGUUGGAGGCUGGGGGAGAUCCAAGGUCAGGAGGCCAGAGCUCCUCCCAAGAUGAUCUGGGGUCCUGGGGUCCCAGGGAUCCCUGCCCAGAGUUUGUGUGGGCAGGAGAGGGUCCUGGGGGAGGGCUGCCCAGAGGGGACCCGUCCAGAGGAUUCUGCCCAGCCCAGACCCCCCAGGCCUGAGACUUCUACCCAGAAAGCCAGUCCUUGUGGGGAGGGAGCCCUGGCCGGGAACUCUGCACCGCCAGGGCCCCUGGACGGCCCUCCUGGGAGGAGGAGGGCCUGCUGUGGCUGUGGUGGAGGGGCCCAGCUAGAGGCCUGUGUACGGAAGGGGGCGCUCAAAGGCCUGCCAGGCGCGGAACUGGAGGGCAGGGCGGA